UAUUAUGGACAAAAGGAUAUUGUUCGUC
RNAcentral lists this small RNA (28 nucleotides) under Bombyx mori (domestic silkworm). RNAcentral's name for it is "ovarian small RNA-24128". The record is from RNAcentral. Lineage: Eukaryota; Metazoa; Arthropoda; Insecta; Lepidoptera; Bombycidae.